CGAUCUUCUGUCGCACGGGCUCUGCAAUCCAGUCUGCUGAUGCCAAAUGGAACCUGACUUCAGCCUUGGAAUUCACUGUGGAUGAAGAGAGGAGCAUGGUUCUCGGAGACUCUUGGGAAGGCCCCCAGCAAAAUCACCCUAUGAAAGCACCCCUGAACUCCAGACACACUACUCCAGAAGCACUUCUGUAGGAAAAUGGAAUUCACGACUCCAGCUGUCCCUGCCUUGGCUUAAGCUGCUGUUGGGAGGUCUGCUGCGAAUACAGCCUGGUUCAUCUGCCUGGAGGGCUCGUGUCAAAGGGAGCUAGUCGCCCUAGGGCUUCUCACCCAAGCUCUCCAUUCAGCAGCAGUGUCCUGCAACCUUUAGUCCUGGAAACCACAAGGCCCAGCAAACAUGGCCUCCUCUGAGGCUCUUUUGGCCUCCAAGCCCAAAGCAUCCUCAUCUGUGCCCCUCCCUGCCUUCAUCUUUGAUCUUAGAAUUAAUGGGGAGAAAAUCCUCAUCCUGCUCACUGGUCUGCAGCUCUGAAGGCCACAGCCUCUUCCCUAAAUUACCCUCCCCAAGUUUCCCCCUUGCUUUUCAAUGCCUCAUCACACUCCUUUGCUGGUCUGUUUCCUCAUGAUCUUUAAACUGAGGUGCCACUGAAAUCCCUCUCUCUCCUCUUUCUCUACCAUAUUUCAUCCUAUGCUGAUGAAAAUGCCAUUUAGAUUGGUGACUCCCAACUUUUGGGUUCAAGUAAACUUUGUUCCAUAUA
Molecule: long non-coding RNA, 751 nt
Organism: Nannospalax galili (Upper Galilee mountains blind mole rat)
Lineage: Eukaryota; Metazoa; Chordata; Mammalia; Rodentia; Spalacidae
Exons: 2
Source: RefSeq, a predicted model, not a curated record